CACAUGGCUGAGGAGUCUUCACAAACAUGGCAGAAGGCAAAUGAGGAGCAAAGUCAUAUCUUACAUGGUGGCAGGCAAUAGAACUUGUGCAAGGAACUCCCAUUUAUAAAACCAUCAGAUCUCAAGAGUUUUAUUAACUACCAUAAACACUGUAUGGGAGAACUGACCCCAUGAUUCAAGUACCUGCACCUGGCCCCACCCUUGACAUAUGAGGAUUAUUACAGUUCAAGGUGAGAUUUGGGAGGGGACACAGCCAAACCAUAUCAAAGCUUCAACAUAAAUUUUGGAGGGACACAAACAUUUAAAUCAUAGCACAAAGUUAAUAAUCUCAUGCGAUUCAGAGAAAAGUACAGAGAGACACAAUAAAGAAACAGACAAGAUAAGUGCUGUGAAUAAAAUAAAACAGCUUAAUGUGAUUGGGGGAACAACAUUAGAAAGAGGGUCAUGAAAGCGUUCUCUGAAGAGGUGACACUCAAGCUGAGACUUUCAGGGCCAGCUCUUAAGCAGGGCAGGGGAAUUCUAGUCUCCCUUCCUUCAUCCUAAAACCUGCAAAUUCCUUUCCCCAAAUUGGAAGAAACAGACUUAAAAUGCAAAACAUGGGGGGGUCACAUUUUACUGUGAAUGAACUUUGAUCUGUAACUGGCCAAUCCAUUCAUCAGUGUGAAUGACUGGUUAUCAUACUCUGUUUUGACUGGGGAGGUGUGGAGAGGAGGGCAGUGAUAAGGCUUAUGUUUCUUUUUUUGUUUUGUUUUGUUUUUUUUUUUUUUGACACGGAGUUUCGCUCUUGUUACCCAGGCUGGAGUGCAAUGGCACAAUCUCAGCUUGCUGCAACCUCUGUCUCUCGGGUUCAAGCAAUUUUCCUGAGGAGCAGGGACUAUGGGUGUGUGCCACCAUGUCUGGCUACUUUUUGUAUUUUUAGUAGAGAUGGGGUUUCACCAUGUUGGCCAGGCUGGUCUUGAACUCCUGACCUCAAGUGAUCUGCCUGCCUCGGCCUCCCAAAGUGCUGGGAUUAUAGGCAUGAGCCACUGAGCUCAGCCAGGGACUUUGUUCUGAUCAGCGCUGUGCCCUUAGCCCAAUGCCAGCAUGCAGUAGGUAGUUAAUACAUGUUUGUCGAACAACUGAAACCCUAAAAUUAUUUGGCUCUUUGUCUUUCAGGACUUAAUAAAAACUUGCUCCUUUU
Molecule: long non-coding RNA, 1180 nt
Filed under: Callithrix jacchus (white-tufted-ear marmoset)
Lineage: Eukaryota; Metazoa; Chordata; Mammalia; Primates; Cebidae
Description: lncRNA (ENSCJAG00000077817.1)
Source: RNAcentral